GCCUGCCUCCUCUCCGCUGUUAUCAGCAGUCAGCCCUCCGUACCCACAGGGUGGCAGCUUCCUGUACCUUGACCGCCGUUGGAAGGCUGAGCAAGCUCAGCAGCAGAAUCACCAUCCACUUGCGGUCGCCCUUUUGGCCCGAGGAUGCACAGCCUGAGGGAAGCUGGGGAAGCUCCUUUCUCUCUCCCUCUCUGAGCCCCUUCUUUGCUUGUUUCCUCCCUCCUCUUUCCCCGGUCAGGGCGGGGGAUGGAGAAGCAUCUCUGGUAGAGGCCUCCUGAUUCUCCUAUAUACUUAGUAGGCUAUCUCCCAAAUCUUCUUUCUACAGAAUGGGAAAGGAAGGCAACCUUUAGGAAUAUGUUUGUCUUCUCGUAGCCUCAGGGAUUGCAAAUUAGGAUAGCAUAGGAAGGUGUGCCCGGGAGGCGAUGUGUGCCGGGCUGGUGAUGGGAGGGUGCAUUGUUAUCAUUACGCCAUAAAGAGAGCUAAAGGUACCCGGAAGAAGGAGCGGCAGUCUGGAACUCAGCAGGAUGAAAAAGGACUCGGUAGACCGGCAUCCAGGACCAACCUGACCUCGUGGAUGCGAAGAUCUUUCUUCACUGGCUUGUUUUCCCCGAAGUGUAGUAGUGUCUAACAGCGGGGUUGGUUUCUCCUGUUCAGACUCUGGGAUUUCCCCACCCAGAAAUGGGAUUAUGGUGGAGAAGUGAAGAUGUUCUCUCUCAAAGCACUUCCUCCUUAGGAGCUUGGCUGGAGCAACUCUCAUCACUAUUACCAGAUUCCAAUUCACUGGAUUCCGAACUAUCUUGAUGGUUUUAUAAAAGCUCCACAGAACACGGUCAAGUCCUUCAACAAUCUCAGCAGAUAUUCUGUGUAGGGUAAAUGGCUUUGAAUGACUGAUUCCAGGGAGAAGUCCAGCUCUUAUUCACACCUCUGAUUGAUAUAUUCAAUUGAGACGUGUUGUCACCUGAUAAAGUGCAACGUUUCUUGUAACAAAAAAAUGGAGAAAAUAAAGCAAUUCAGCAAAGCUAUCAACUGAAUCUCACAGUGUGAGCCGUGGUGGAUCGCAAUGUUUUACAGCUAUAAUCCUGCACAUCUGCAAAGAAGGGAUAGAGAGAUGGAUUUUUUUCUUUUUUUUUUUUCUGCACAAGUUGUUCAUUGUGAUUGCACAGAAUUCAGAUAUUAUUCUAUGAUUUGGCUUCUAGCCUGGCACUCAUUCAAGGGAAUAACACCUAUGGAGAGGAGAUCAGUCAUCCUUACCAUGAAGCAACAUCAACUCUAGACCAUUUGCUGCCUCUGGGGUGGUCAAGCCAGCUUGGCUGAGGCAACAAGGAACUCUGAGGGAGAGACAGAAGUCAGCAUGCACCAACCUGGUCAAACCAUUGCCACCAUAUUUAUAACCACUUCUCCUCAGACCCUGGUAAAGAUUAUAUCCAUUAUAUCCAAGGCCUCCCAGACUACUGGUCCUGCUUCCAGCUCUGGCCCAGCAAGCACCAUUCAAGAGAAUACCUUUACGGAGACAGAUCCUGCUAUGACCUCUAUCCCCAACACCAACCUCCGACCAACUGUUACUGAUGGACCAGGAAGCUUAAGAGCCCUCCAGACCACCAGCUCUGCUUACAAUAAUCCUUAUAGAGAUUUGAUUUCAAAACUAUCUCUUAUAGAACUGAAGUCCCUGCCACCUCAGAAGUCACAGGUACAGAAGACCCAGAAAAGAAAGCUCACACCAAAGUCCUUGACACUGUUAAAUAGUUCCAUAUUAGAUAUAGAAGUGGUUUCAUCAGUGGAAGUGACAUUGAAGAAGAUUCAUUGACAUCUGUUUUGCCAUUGUCCUUUAAGGAUCUCUGACCUUUCCAUCUGCCCUAUACUUGAAACCUCCUUUCUUCUCUACUUAUUUGUUCUAUCAUUUAAAAA
Molecule: non-coding RNA, 1905 nt
Organism: Phascolarctos cinereus (koala)
Lineage: Eukaryota; Metazoa; Chordata; Mammalia; Diprotodontia; Phascolarctidae
Source: RefSeq, a predicted model, not a curated record